GACGAACGCUGGCGGCGUGCUUAACACAUGCAAGUCGAACGGAAAGGCCCUGCUUUUGUGGGGUGCUCGAGUGGCGAACGGGUGAGUAACACGUGAGUAGCCUGCCCUUGACUUUGGGAUAACUUCAGGAAACUGGGGCUAAUACCGGAUAGGAGCUCCUGCUGCAUGGUGGGGGUUGGAAAGUUUCGGCGGUUGGGGAUGGACUCGCGGCUUAUCAGCUUGUUGGUGGGGUAGUGGCUUACCAAGGCUUUGACGGGUAGCCGGCCUGAGAGGGUGACCGGCCACAUUGGGACUGAGAUACGGACCAGACUCCUACGGGAGGCAGCAGUGGGGAAUAUUGCACAAUGGGCGGAAGCCUGAUGCAGCAACGCCGCGUGCGGGAUGACGGCCUUCGGGUUGUAAACCGCUUUCGCCUGUGACGAAGCGUGAGUGACGGUAAUGGGUAAAGAAGCACCGGCUAACUACGUG
This 468-nucleotide ribosomal RNA is filed under the name uncultured bacterium. RNAcentral's name for it is "partial 16S ribosomal RNA". It matches the Rfam family "Bacterial small subunit ribosomal RNA", at positions 28 to 507 of the family's 1533-position model. The record is from RNAcentral.